AUGAAGCUCUACAGCUUCAGUGUCCUUACAAAGAGAACCAAAAGCAGUGCUGCUCAAAGCUGUGUAUGACGUGUUAGUUUCUUCUAGAGUUCCAGUGUUAAGGGAUGCAUGACCUUUACAGUCAACUGGUUUGUGGAAUGCUCGGCAAAAGGCAGCAGAGCUUUUGUCAAAGAACAAGAGUAUUUUUGCCAUGUCUACAUCCGGAGUGACAGUUUUGCAAGUGUGGUCACUGCUGACAGCGAAUACCCUUCCAGAGUGGCUUUUACCUUGCUGGAAAAGGUACUAGAUGAACUCUCCAAGCAGGUUGAUAGAAUAGACUAGCCUGUAGGAUCCCCUGCUACAAGAUACCAGAACCCCUGAGAAGCUGAUCCCAUGAGUAAAGUCCAGGCUGAACUGGAAGAGAGCAAAAGCAUUCUGCAUAGCACCAUGGAGUCUUUGUUAGAGUGAAGCGAGAAGCUUGAUGCCUUGGUAUCCAGAUCUGGGUACUGGGAACACAGUUGAAAGCCUUCUAUAAGACUGCCCGGAAAG
RNAcentral lists this long non-coding RNA (528 nucleotides) under Mus musculus (house mouse). Its description in RNAcentral is "long non-coding RNA chrX:77292660-77293188". The record is from RNAcentral. Lineage: Eukaryota; Metazoa; Chordata; Mammalia; Rodentia; Muridae.